CCGCGGUAAUACGUAGGUUCCGAGCGUUGUCCGGAUUUAUUGGGCGUAAAGCGAGCGCAGGCGGUUAGAUAAGUCUGAAGUUAAAGGCUGUGGCUUAACCAUAGUGACGCUUUGGAAACUGUUUAACUUGAGUGCAAGAGGGGAGAGUGGAAUUCCAUGUGUAGCGGUGAAAUGCGUAGAUAUAUGGAGGAACACCGGUGGCGAAAGCGGCUCUCUGGCUUGUAACUGACGCUGAGGCUCGAAAGCGUGGGGAGCAAACAGGAUUAGAUACC
This 272-nucleotide ribosomal RNA is filed under the name uncultured Streptococcaceae bacterium. RNAcentral's name for it is "partial 16S ribosomal RNA". It matches the Rfam family "Bacterial small subunit ribosomal RNA", at positions 515 to 786 of the family's 1533-position model. The record is from RNAcentral. Lineage: Bacteria; Bacillati; Bacillota; Bacilli; Lactobacillales; Streptococcaceae.